This 331-nucleotide ribosomal RNA is filed under the name uncultured bacterium. RNAcentral describes it as "bacterial SSU rRNA". It matches the Rfam family "Bacterial small subunit ribosomal RNA", at positions 568 to 898 of the family's 1533-position model. The record is from RNAcentral.
CGCGUAGACGGUUUUGUAAGUCAGAUGCGAAAUCCCUGGGCUCAACCUGGGAACUGCAUUUGAAACUGCAUGGCUAGAGUAUGGUAGAGGGAAGUGGAAUUUCCGGUGUAGCGGUGAAAUGCGUAGAUAUCGGAAGGAACACCAGUGGCGAAAGCGACUUCCUGGACCAAUACUGACGUUCAUGUGCGAAAGCGUGGGGAGCAAACAGGAUUAGAUACCCUGGUAGUCCACGCCAUAAACGAUGACAACUAGAUGUUGGGAGGGUCUGCCUCUCGGUGUCGCAGCUAACGCGUUAAGUUGUCCGCCUGGGGAGUACGGCCGCAAGGUUGAA